Molecule: non-coding RNA, 300 nt
Organism: Paramuricea clavata
Lineage: Eukaryota; Metazoa; Cnidaria; Anthozoa; Malacalcyonacea; Plexauridae
Source: the annotation of a GenBank genome assembly
UCAUAAUUCAUUUAACUCACUGCGUAGCCACGUAUCCGCGUAUCCAGUAAAUUCUAUACAUCCAUCUUAUCAUUACGUCAUUUUCAAUUUAACUCACUGCGUAGCCAAGUAUCCGCGUAUCCACUAAAUACUAUACAUUUACUUUAGUCUUUACCAUACUUUUAAUUGAACUCACUGCGUAGCCAAGUAUCCGCGUAUCCACUAAAUACUAUACAUUUAUCUUUAGUCUUUACCAUAUUUUUAAUUUAACUCACUGCGUAGCCAAGUAUCCGCGUAUCCACUAAAUACUAUACAUUUAUC